Conger conger (European conger) is the source of this 206-nucleotide small nucleolar RNA. RefSeq annotates it as small nucleolar RNA SNORA74. The transcript has a single exon. The record is from RefSeq and is a predicted model, not a curated record. Lineage: Eukaryota; Metazoa; Chordata; Actinopteri; Anguilliformes; Congridae.
CCCAGCGGUAAGUCAGCUGCGCGGGCCUGCUCAGUGCCUGGGUCAGUGUUACACUGCUGGGAGAGGAAGGUGCUUCACUGUGGCUGGGCUCUGGGAGACACUGUUUUAGUGGCUGCUGAUGCUAGGCUGUGAUGGUGCCUUACCCCUCUGAGAGUGGACUGUGCCCCCAUACAUUGGGUGCAGUCCUAGUCUGAGGGAUGAACAGU